RNAcentral lists this ribosomal RNA (465 nucleotides) under uncultured bacterium. Its description in RNAcentral is "partial 16S ribosomal RNA". It matches the Rfam family "Bacterial small subunit ribosomal RNA", at positions 338 to 795 of the family's 1533-position model. The record is from RNAcentral.
CCUACGGGUGGCAGCAGUGGGGAAUAUUGCGCAAUGGGCGAAAGCCUGACGCAGCGACGCCGCGUGAGGGAUGACGGUCUUCGGAUCUUAAACCUCUGUCAGCAGGGAAGAAUGGUCACUGUGCUAAUCAGCAGUGAAUUGACGGUACCUUCAAAGGAAGCACCGGCUAACUCCGUGCCAGCAGCCGCGGUAAUACGGAGGGUGCGAUCGUUAAUCGGUAUUACUGGGCGUAAAGCGCUCGUAGGCGGUAUGUCAAGUCAAGGGUGAAAUCCCCGCGCUCAACGUGGGAACUGCCUUUGAUUCUGGCAAACUGGAGUGUGUGAGAGGAGAGUGGAAUUCGAGGUGUAGGAGUGAAAGCCGUAGAUAUCUGGAGGAACAUCAGUGGCGAAGGCGACUAUCUGGCACAUAACUGACGCUGAGGAGCGAAAGCGUGGGUAGCAAACAGGAUUAGAUACCCUUGUAGUC